Molecule: unclassified non-coding RNA, 365 nt
Filed under: uncultured Cuphophyllus
Lineage: Eukaryota; Fungi; Basidiomycota; Agaricomycetes; Agaricales; Hygrophoraceae
Description: sequence contains ITS1
Rfam family: 5.8S ribosomal RNA (bases 1-105)
Source: RNAcentral
GAAAUGCGAUAAGUAAUGUGAAUUGCAGAAUUCAGUGAAUCAUCGAAUCUUUGAACGCACCUUGCGCUCCUUGGUAUUCCGAGGAGCAUGCCUGUUUGAGUGUCAUUAAAUUCUCAACCCAUUCAGCUUUUGUUAGAUGAAUGUGGCUUGGAUUUUUGGGGGUUGUGCGGGCUUUUAUCAAGUCGGCUCCCUUUAAAUGCAUUAGCGGAGACCCUUGUGGACCGUCUUUGGUGUGAUAAUUAUCUACGCCAUCGCCGUGAAGCAGCUAUUACAAAUGGGACUUCAGCUUCAAACCGUCCUUUGGAAGGACAACACUUCAUUGACAUUUUGACCUCAAAUCAGGUAGGACUACCCGCUGAACUUAA